Molecule: small nucleolar RNA, 94 nt
Organism: Andrographis paniculata
Lineage: Eukaryota; Viridiplantae; Streptophyta; Magnoliopsida; Lamiales; Acanthaceae
Source: RefSeq, a predicted model, not a curated record
UCCGGGCAUAUGAUGAAAACUACUGUGAAAAUGGGUAAUUUGCGUCUGAAUUCAAUCUUGAUGCGAAAUUCACCUUGGAGACCUGAUGCCCUCA